AAGGACGUUACUAACGACGAUAUGCUUUGGGGAGCUGUAAGUAAGCUUUGAUCCAGAGAUUUCCGAAUGGGGAAACCCAGCAUGAGUUAUGUCAUGUUAUCGAUAUGUGAAUACAUAGCAUAUCAGAAGGCACACCCGGAGAACUGAAACAUCUUAGUACCCGGAGGAAGAGAAAGAAAAUUCGAUUCCCUUAGUAGCGGCGAGCGAAACGGGAAGAGCCCAAACCAACAAGCUUGCUUGUUGGGGUUGUAGGACACUCUAUACGGAGUUACAAAGGACGACAUUAGACGAAUCAUCUGGAAAGAUGAAUCAAAGAAGGUAAUAAUCCUGUAGUCGAAAAUGUUGUCUCUCUUGAGUGGAUCCUGAGUACGACGGAGCACGUGAAAUUCCGUCGGAAUCUGGGAGGACCAUCUCCUAAGGCUAAAUACUCUCUAGUGACCGAUAGUGAACCAGUACCGUGAGGGAAAGGUGAAAAGCACCCCGGAAGGGGAGUGAAAUAGAACCUGAAACCGUGUGCUUACAAGUAGUCAGAGCCCGUUAAUGGGUGAUGGCGUGCCUUUUGUAGAAUGAACCGGCGAGUUACGAUUUGAUGCAAGGUUAAGCAGUAAAUGUGGAGCCGUAGCGAAAGCGAGUCUGAAUAGGGCGUUUAGUAUUUGGUCGUAGACCCGAAACCAGGUGAUCUACCCUUGGUCAGGUUGAAGUUCAGGUAACACUGAAUGGAGGACCGAACCGACUUACGUUGAAAAGUGAGCGGAUGAACUGAGGGUAGCGGAGAAAUUCCAAUCGAACCUGGAGAUAGCUGGUUCUCUCCGAAAUAGCUUUAGGGCUAGCCUCAAGUGAUGAUUAUUGGAGGUAGAGCACUGUUUGGACGAGGGGCCCCUCUCGGGUUACCGAAUUCAGACAAACUCCGAAUGCCAAUUAAUUUAACUUGGGAGUCAGAACAUGGGUGAUAAGGUCCGUGUUCGAAAGGGAAACAGCCCAGACCACCAGCUAAGGUCCCAAAAUAUAUGUUAAGUGGAAAAGGAUGUGGCGUUGCCCAGACAACUAGGAUGUUGGCUUAGAAGCAGCCAUCAUUUAAAGAGUGCGUAAUAGCUCACUAGUCGAGUGACACUGCGCCGAAAAUGUACCGGGGCUAAACAUAUUACCGAAGCUGUGGAUUGUCCUUUGGACAAUGGUAGGAGAGCGUUCUAAGGGCGUUGAAGCAUGAUCGUAAGGACAUGUGGAGCGCUUAGAAGUGAGAAUGCCGGUGUGAGUAGCGAAAGACGGGUGAGAAUCCCGUCCACCGAUUGACUAAGGUUUCCAGAGGAAGGCUCGUCCGCUCUGGGUUAGUCGGGUCCUAAGCUGAGGCCGACAGGCGUAGGCGAUGGAUAACAGGUUGAUAUUCCUGUACCACCUAUAAUCGUUUUAAUCGAUGGGGGGACGCAGUAGGAUAGGCGAAGCGUGCGAUUGGAUUGCACGUCUAAGCAGUAAGGCUGAGUAUUAGGCAAAUCCGGUACUCGUUAAGGCUGAGCUGUGAUGGGGAGAAGACAUUGAGUCUUCGAGUCGUUGAUUUCACACUGCCGAGAAAAGCCUCUAGAUAGAAAAUAGGUGCCCGUACCGCAAACCGACACAGGUAGUCAAGAUGAGAAUUCUAAGGUGAGCGAGCGAACUCUCGUUAAGGAACUCGGCAAAAUGACCCCGUAACUUCGGGAGAAGGGGUGCUCUUUAGGGUUAACGCCCAGAAGAGCCGCAGUGAAUAGGCCCAAGCGACUGUUUAUCAAAAACACAGGUCUCUGCUAAACCGUAAGGUGAUGUAUAGGGGCUGACGCCUGCCCGGUGCUGGAAGGUUAAGAGGAGUGGUUAGCUUCUGCGAAGCUACGAAUCGAAGCCCCAGUAAACGGCGGCCGUAACUAUAACGGUCCUAAGGUAGCGAAAUUCCUUGUCGGGUAAGUUCCGACCCGCACGAAAGGCGUAACGAUUUGGGCACUGUCUCAACGAGAGACUCGGUGAAAUCAUAGUACCUGUGAAGAUGCAGGUUACCCGCGACAGGACGGAAAGACCCCGUGGAGCUUUACUGUAGCCUGAUAUUGAAAUUCGGCACAGCUUGUACAGGAUAGGUAGGAGCCUUUGAAACGUGAGCGCUAGCUUACGUGGAGGCGCUGGUGGGAUACUACCCUAGCUGUGUUGGCUUUCUAACCCGCACCACUUAUCGUGGUGGGAGACAGUGUCA
RNAcentral lists this ribosomal RNA (2209 nucleotides) under Staphylococcus aureus. RNAcentral describes it as "partial 23S ribosomal RNA". It matches the Rfam family "Bacterial large subunit ribosomal RNA", at positions 52 to 2259 of the family's 2925-position model. The record is from RNAcentral. Lineage: Bacteria; Bacillati; Bacillota; Bacilli; Caryophanales; Staphylococcaceae.